UCUUUAAUGAAUUAUAAAUGAAAGGGGAGCAAUUCAAAAAGUCAAAUUGGCAACAUUUAAAUGAAAUAGGGGGAGAUUUCACUCUUAUAUAUGAAAAGCUGAAAUUCAGCAAGUUAAGCCCUUUCAAAAACUGAUCUUAAAGACAAGUAUCAAUAGGCUCAUACUCUUUAUUUUGUAAUCAUCAAAAAGGGAGAGAUUGAGGAUGAUAGUGUUAUUUUGAUGAUUAACAAGCAAUUAUCUAGAGUUUGUUAUAAGUUAAAUUGAUACUUCAUUUAUAAGACUAUUACUCUCAGGACAUUUGUAUAAAUUGAUAUAGAUACAUUUCAUUGUUUAUUUGAAUGAAUCUAACCUUGAGAUGCAGCAAAGUGUGGAUUGAGUCGACCCAAAGGAUGAUUGGGUCGACCCCGGCACAUCAAGAAAUCAUUUGGCACACUUCUGCAAAAAUGGUACAGAUGAACAGUGAGUUGGGUCGACCCAAGGAAAGCAUGAGUCGACCCAAACAUCAAGAUCCUCAAA
This 516-nucleotide long non-coding RNA is filed under the name Phoenix dactylifera (date palm). RNAcentral's name for it is "long non-coding RNA (PDAC_LNC017613)". Lineage: Eukaryota; Viridiplantae; Streptophyta; Magnoliopsida; Arecales; Arecaceae. The record is from RNAcentral.